GACGAACGCUGGCGGCGUGCUUAACACAUGCAAGUCGAACGGAAAGGCCCUGCUUGUUUGGUGUUCUCGAGUGGCGAACGGGUGAGUAACACGUGAGUAACCUGCUCUACACUUUGGGAUAACUUCAGGUAACGGGGGCUAAUACCGUAUAGGAUCUCCUGCUGCAUGGAGGGGGUGGGAAAUUCUCGGCUGGUGGGGAUGAACUAGCGGCUUAUAAGCUUGUUGGUGGGGGAGUGGCUUACCAAGGCGUUGACGGGUAGACGGCCUGAGAGGGUGAGAGGCCACACUGGGACUGAGGUGAGGCAGAGACUCCUAAGGGAGGCAAAAGUGGGGAAUCUUGAACCAUGGGCGGCGGCCUGAUGAAGAAACGCCGCGUGUGGGAUGGCGCCCUUCGGGUUGUAAAAAGGUAUCGCCUGUGAAGACGCGUGAGUGGCGGUAAUGGGUAGAGAAGGAACGGCUAAAUACGUG
RNAcentral lists this ribosomal RNA (468 nucleotides) under uncultured bacterium. RNAcentral describes it as "partial 16S ribosomal RNA". It matches the Rfam family "Bacterial small subunit ribosomal RNA", at positions 28 to 507 of the family's 1533-position model. The record is from RNAcentral.